Molecule: long non-coding RNA, 252 nt
Filed under: Capra hircus (goat)
Lineage: Eukaryota; Metazoa; Chordata; Mammalia; Artiodactyla; Bovidae
Description: lncRNA (ENSCHIG00000001168.1)
Source: RNAcentral
GAAAGAAUGGGGGUAGGGGUGGGAAGAGAGAGACUUGUGGAAUGAGCUGCUUGGCAGAACCAAGUUUCAGCAGGGGGAACCAAAUGUUGAAGCCCUGCCCCCCACCAUAGCGUAUUUGGACAUGGCGCCUUUGGCCCCACCUGAGAAGCAGGCUGCUGAAAACACUAAACCUCAGAUGCUCCUUCCUGGGGAAAAAGAGCUGCAGGGGAAUUGCAUCCGGAUACACAGUUAUCAUAACUUCUUGAUCUUCCA